RNAcentral lists this transfer RNA (67 nucleotides) under Margattea spinosa. RNAcentral's name for it is "tRNA-Met". The record is from RNAcentral. Lineage: Eukaryota; Metazoa; Arthropoda; Insecta; Blattodea; Pseudophyllodromiidae.
AGACAAGUAAGCUAAACUCAAGCUAACGGGCUCAUACCCCGUUUAUAGAGAAACACUCUCUUUUCUA